This 597-nucleotide ribosomal RNA is filed under the name Chaetomium sp. BAB-3391. Its description in RNAcentral is "eukaryotic LSU rRNA". The stretch from base 201 to 354 matches the Rfam family "5.8S ribosomal RNA". The record is from RNAcentral. Lineage: Eukaryota; Fungi; Ascomycota; Sordariomycetes; Sordariales; Chaetomiaceae.
CCGUAGGUGAACCAGCGGAGGGAUCAUUAAAGAGUUGCAAAACUCCCUAAACCAUUGUGAACCUACCUUCAACCGUUGCUUCGGCGGGUUGGCACCGGGUCUCCCGGCGCCCCCGGCCCCCUCGCGGGGCGGCCCGCCGGAGGUACCUAACUCUUGAACAUUGUAUGGCCUCUCUGAGUCUUCUGUACUGAAUAAGUCAAAACUUUCAACAACGGAUCUCUUGGUUCUGGCAUCGAUGAAGAACGCAGCGAAAUGCGAUAAGUAAUGUGAAUUGCAGAAUUCAGUGAAUCAUCGAAUCUUUGAACGCACAUUGCGCCCGCCCGUAUUCUGGCGGGCAUGCCUGUUCGAGCGUCAUUUCAACCAUCAAGCCCCGGGCUUGUGUUGGGGACCUGCGGCUGCCGCAGGCCCUGAAAUGCAGUGGCGGGCUCGCUGUCACACCGAGCGUAGUAGCAUUAUCUCGCUCUGGGCGUGCUGCGUGUCCCGGCCGUAAAACGACCUUACACCCAAGGUUGACCUCGGAUCAGGUAGGAAGACCCGCUGAACUUAAGCAUAUCAAUAAGCGGAGGAAAAGAAACCAACAGGGAUUGCCCUAGUAAC